Molecule: non-coding RNA, 126 nt
Organism: Brassica napus (rape)
Lineage: Eukaryota; Viridiplantae; Streptophyta; Magnoliopsida; Brassicales; Brassicaceae
Source: Rfam
GUAAUAUAAGAUACGGUCUCUUAGUUUUUAACUAAAAAAACUAAGAAGUGUCUCUUAAAUAAAAGAUAUAAAAGACGUUUCUUAACUUUUUUUAAUUAAAAAGUAAGAGACUGUAUCUUAUAUUAC